RNAcentral lists this ribosomal RNA (253 nucleotides) under uncultured bacterium. RNAcentral's name for it is "partial 16S ribosomal RNA". It matches the Rfam family "Bacterial small subunit ribosomal RNA", at positions 524 to 776 of the family's 1533-position model. The record is from RNAcentral.
UACAGAGGGUGCGAGCGUUAAUCGGAAUUACUGGGCGUAAAGCGCACGUAGGUGGUUGAUUAAGUCGAUUGUGAAAUACCUGGGCUUAACCUGGGAACUGCAGUUGAUACUGGUCGACUAGAGUAUGGUAGAGGGAAGUGGAAUUUCCGGUGUAGCGGUGAAAUGCGUAGAUAUCGGAAGGAACACCAGUGGCGAAGGCGGCAUCCUGGACCGGUAUUGACGCUGAGGCGCGAAAGCCAGGGGAGCAAACGGG